This 275-nucleotide unclassified non-coding RNA is filed under the name Hevea brasiliensis (rubber tree). Lineage: Eukaryota; Viridiplantae; Streptophyta; Magnoliopsida; Malpighiales; Euphorbiaceae. The record is from RNAcentral.
UUCCUCACAGCCCUGAUGCUCUCCCUAGAAACUGCUCCUUCAGGCCAAUUCAGUCUUGAUCCCCUUUUGAAAUAUUUUUCAGCCCCCCAGUUAGCCUUUUGAAUCAUGUGCUCUGGCAGAGGCCCCAAUACCCUCUCCAUCAUUGCCAAAUGUUCCAAGUUCUCAUGUGUCCGGAAUAGUGCUUCACCCAAGCAUAACUCUACAAGUAUACAACCAACACUCCAUAAGUCGCAUGGAUAAGUCCAACCUAGACCUAGAAUAACCUCAGGGGCUCG